GCCUUUAGUUGAUGUAAUUGUUACAAAAGUAGGUAUCAAUAGACAACACUUCAAAAACAUUGAAAGAGCAAAGUACCGAGUACUCAUAAAACUCCAUUGAAAUAUUAAAAAAUAUAUUAUUGAAGUCAUAGUUCCUGUAACGGGUCGCAAUCAAGGGUUGACGAAUGGCGUUAAAAAUAUCCUUGCAACGUCAUGUAAGCGUAGGAGCAAUUUUAGAGGGGAAGUAAAUUGGUUUCUUGAACCCUGUACAAGACGACAUUGAAGGUGCAACUUUGGAGAGGAUUUCUGAUUUUUUGGGCAAUUGAACGCAACCAAGGACUCGCAAAGCGUCUUGAUGAAACCGGUGCAGGAAUAUCCUGAUCGCAUCCGUGACGUUCCUUUUAUAUGUUACACUGGGACAUUUUAUCUUUGUUUUAUCUUUCAGAAUGUUCAACAAUUUUGAAACAGAUGUAAAUUAUGGAGACAUCGAAGUGAAAAUCUAACGAACACAAAGAACAGACUUCGAAGAAGAAAAAUAAGAGAAAAGAGGGGAGAAUGAAGGAAUGAACCCUACAAAAGAAAAAAGGACUCUGCUACGUCCGACUAGUUCGCUGACUCCAGAUGCGAAUGAAAGUACCGUAUCAAACGUGUCCAUUUAUUGAGGAAAAAAGGAUUUGCCGAGAGAUUUAUCCUACACCUUGUAUCCAGAGUCGAUAAAUCGAACAGUUAUAAAGAACCAGUCCUACAGGUGAUCAAAUUGUUCGCGUUUUAAUCU
This is a non-coding RNA of Osmia lignaria (orchard mason bee), 754 nucleotides long. NCBI's taxonomy places the organism in Eukaryota, Metazoa, Arthropoda, Insecta, Hymenoptera, Megachilidae. The record is from RefSeq and is a predicted model, not a curated record.